RNAcentral lists this ribosomal RNA (372 nucleotides) under Triticum aestivum (bread wheat). Its description in RNAcentral is "partial small subunit ribosomal RNA". Lineage: Eukaryota; Viridiplantae; Streptophyta; Magnoliopsida; Poales; Poaceae. The record is from RNAcentral.
AUGGCGUUGGCGACUCCGGCAGGCGGCGGCGAGGGUGUCGGCGGCGGCGGUGACCUACCGUUUUGGCCGCCUAGCGGCCCGGCUGGCGUCGACGGCGACGGAGGCGACGACUCCAGCUCCGCUUACUCAAGCGAUGACGGGGAGGAGUCACUGUUACUCUCCAUGGAGCAGCGGCUGCGGUUGGCGCAGUUGUGGGUGGCGAACCCUAGCAGCAGCCAUGAGUUGACGCAUGGACUCAGCGGCGUGUUGUACGUAUCCUUCUCCCCCUCCUCCUCUGAUUUAUCCAAUUGUGGAUUUUUAGGAUUAGUUCAUCUCCAGUUGGGGAUUAGGGUUUGUUCAUCUUCUGUGAGCACCGUAGGACAAUUACAGUAG